CAAGUCGAGCGAUGAAACUACUUCGGUAGUGAAUUAGCGGCGAACGGGUGAGGAACACGUGAGGAAUCUGCCUUCAACACUGGGAUAACUCCGGGAAACCGGGGCUAAUACCGGAUAUGAGCUCUGAUCGCAUGGUCGGGGCUGUAAAGUUUUUCGGUUGGAGAUGACCUCGCGGCCUAUCAGCUUGUUGGUGAGGUAAUGGCUCACCAAGGCGACGACGGGUAGCCGGCCUGAGAGGGCGACCGGCCACACUGGGACUGAGACACGGCCCAGACUCCUACGGGAGGCAGCAGUGGGGAAUAUUGGGCAAUGGAGGAAACUCUGACCCAGCGACGCCGCGUGCGGGAUGAAGGCCUUCGGGUUGUAAACCGCUUUCAGUAGGGAAGAAGCGAAAGUGACGGUACCUACAGAAGAAGCACCGGCUAACUAUGUGCCAGCAGCCGCGGUAAUACAUAGGGUGCAAGCGUUGUCCGGAAUUAUUGGGCGUAAAGAGCUCGUAGGUGGUUUGAUACGUCGGGUGUGAAAUUCAGGGGCUCAACCCCUGACCUGCAUUCGAUACGGUCAAGCUAGAGUUUGGUAGGGGAGACUGGAAUUCCUGGUGUAGCGGUGGAAUGCGCAGAUAUCAGGAGGAACACCGAUGGCGAAGGCAGGUCUCUGGGCCAAUACUGACACUGAGGAGCGAAAGCGUGGGGAGCGAACAGGAUUAGAUACCCUGGUAGUCCACGCCGUAAACGGUGGGCGCUAGUUGUGCGAACCUUCCACGGUUUGUGCGACGCAGCUAACGCAUUAAGCGCCCCGCCUGGGGAGUACGAUCGCAAGAUUAAAACUCAAAGGAAUUGACGG
This 843-nucleotide ribosomal RNA is filed under the name uncultured bacterium. Its description in RNAcentral is "bacterial SSU rRNA". It matches the Rfam family "Bacterial small subunit ribosomal RNA", at positions 58 to 916 of the family's 1533-position model. The record is from RNAcentral.